GAUCCCACGUUGCUGUGGCUGUGGUGUAGGCUGACAGCCAUAGCUCUGAUUUGACCCCUAGCCUGGGAACCUCCAUAUGCCAUGGGUGCCACCCUAAAAAGCAAAAAAAAAAAAAAAAAACCCACUGUAAGCAAACUGGUUAAAAUAACAUUGGAAAAACUUAACAGCUUAGGCCAGAAACAGAUGUUUGAAAGUAAAUGACUUUUUUUCUUGAUCAUGUGCAGUACCAAAUGUGAGGCAGGUAUAAAUGAAGGAGAAGGCCACAUGAUACCAGAGUUAUUUCAAAUAACUUCAGAGAUCCUUAUAGAAGGAAAAGUUACAAAAAUUAAAAUGAGGAAAAUAGAAUUUUAAAAUGGCAGGUGGAUUUGGAAGUGGGGAAGACUCUUCAGGACAGUAAUUCAGAGCUUCGUAAACGUAUUCAAGUGAAGUGGAGACUGAUGAAACUGACAAAUCUGAAUUGUCUUGGAAAACUUGCCCAAAGCAGCCAAAGAGCAGAUGGAAGGAUGAUGAUGGCGAACACGCUACAUGCCACUUAACUCCAGUUGGGCGAUGGACCAUUAGACUAAAGAUGAGAAAGAGAAAGGAAAACAAAGUUUAACACAAAAGGAAAGAAGUAAGCAAGCUAGCUACUUUCAAUGUACCCUGCCUGAUUUUAUUUCAAACCGCUCUUUAGGGAAUCAGAAGUACAUCCACUCCUGCAAGCAGGCAGUGGAAACCACCUUUGUGUCCCUCACAAGGCUCAUUUGCUCAUACAGCAAAAGAAUGAACAAGAUUGCAGCAUCAACAGUUCCCAUCAUGGCUCAGUGGAAAUAAAUCUGACUAGUAUCCAUGAGAACAGAGGUUCGAUCCCGGGCCUUGCGCAGUGGGUUAAGGAUCCAGCGUUGCCGUGAGCUGUGGUGUAGGUCGCAGAUGUGGCUCGGAUCUGGUGUUGCUGUGGCUGUAGUGUAGGCCAGUGGCUACAGCUCCGAUUGGACCUCUGGCCUGGGCCCUAAAAGAUAAAUAAAUAAAUAAAUAAAUAAAUAAAUAAAUAAAUGUCCUGAUUGGCCAGAUCCUUAGCACAGCAUUUAGACACCAACGUGAUUUCAUUGUAAUGACAUUAGUCAAGAAUUUGGAAGAAAUUCUUGAGGAACUGAAAUUAAGUAACAAUAAUAAAGGCCCAGAGAUUCUCUGGAUUUCAAAAACUGUAGACUGGCUGGUUUUACUUGGGGCCUAAAGAAAGCACUAGGCCUUAUUUUUAGAAACCCACUGGGAAUAAUGACAAACUUCUCUUCAUUAAGGGGAACGAACCUGGGUUGCAGGAAAACAUGGCUGCUAUCAGUCACAGAAGUAAUAAGAGACGUCAUUUGAAGAUACUAGCGCUGAAGCGGAUGAAAGAGAAAAAGCCAACAUCAUAAGUAGAUUGCCUCAAAGGGUCUGAGACCAUUUCAUGCUCAGAGUAAAAGCUGGAAAGGGCAGUCAGAGAAACGCUAAUAACGGCCCUUCAGCACUCAGUGUUAAAGCUCAGAUGCAAGACAGAAAGAUGCUGUAACCUCAGGUUCUUCAAAUGUUUGGGGAGCAGUACUCUAUCUGUGAAAUUGCCAUGUACUGAGGAGUAGUCUUUAUUAAAAAUAAAUAAUAGAUUACAACUUGCCUUAAAACAUGCUCCAAUAGGAUAUUAAGAACCAUGACUGAGAAAUGAAAAUUCAGUCUGAUACAAUGCUUGUAAGGCAGGGCUCUAGCUCAUCGAUGCUGCCCCCAGGAGAAGAUAUGAGCAGAUAAAAGUAUAGAUCUAGGAGGUCCCGUUGUGUCUCAGUGGUUAAUGAAUCCGACUAGGAACCAUGAGGUUGCGGGUUCAAUCCCUGGCCUUGCUCAGUGGGUUAAGGAUCCAGCGUUGCCGUGAGCUGUGGUGUAGGUCACAGAUGCGGCUCAGGUCCUGUGUUGCUAUGGCUGGGGGGUAGGCUGGCAACUGUAGCUCCGAUUGGACCCCUAGUAUGGGAAUCUCCAUAUGCCACGGAUGCAGCCCUAAAAGGCCAAAACAAAAAAACUUGUUUGUGGUGUCAGGCUAGUAGUUAACCUUGUCAGUGCGGUGAGGAGGUGUGAUGACCAGGAGGUACACAGCCUUAAUAAUCCCAGUUAUUUUUGUCCUCUCCCUCACAUUUUUUGGUCAUUCUUGGACUGUUUGGGAUAACAAAUCACAAGCAAGCAUGCCUUGCUUCUAACAGGCACUGCAAUGUUCCUAUUAUUUCCCUCUUUAUUCCUUAGCUGGCUAUUCAUUGAAAGAUCUGAACUUUCCCUGCAUGGGCCAACGCUGGAUCCUAAUUUCUAGGAGAUUCACAUCACACUGGAGUCUGGGGUCCGUAGCUGCUGAUUUCUUAAUGCAGAAACCGCCCUGUUGUUUGCAAAAUCCAAGGCUUAUGCUGAAUGUGCUGCAAUGUGCAGUAUCCUCUGUCAGGGCUCUGCGGUGUAUAAAGUGCUUUGAUGCAGUGGGAGAACAAGGCCCUCCCCUCAAUGCCUCUGCUGUCCACACAGAGUAAGUGUCUUCCUACAACGUUGUCAAAUGAAAGAGAACCACAGUCGUGCCGAUGAAGCAGAUUUUUGCCUAGUGACCUGCUGGAAAAUGUAAUCAGAGCUUUCCUUUAAUGGACUGAAAAUCCAAACCAAUUAGAAAACUGUCUGACCCAAACCGUAGUGUAGUUCAGGACUACCAGAGAGGCUAUUGUCUUUCAUGUACUUCACCUCUCCCCUGAAAAAAGCUCCCUUGCUUUCGAAUGGGUUAAAAUUAUGCCCGGGGAAGCAAAACUAUAAAUGGUCUGCCUUGAAAGGGGCAGACUUCAAAAUGAUAUCCUGAAUCCUUACCCUUCGCAAGAUGAAACCUGUUACUGGAGAAGCCUAGCUGCUGAUUUUACAGCAAAAGAUCUGGAGAAGUAUGGGAAGAGAAACUAAUAAAUUGAUACUUACUAAAAAUAGUAAUGAGGGAGUUCCCAUUGUGGCUCAGCAGGUUAAGAACCUGACUUGUAUCCAUGAGGAUGCGGGUUCAAUCCCUUGCUUCGUCUCGAUCAGUGAGUCAAGGAUCUGAUGUUGCCAAAAGCUGCAGCGUACGUCACAGACACAGCUUGGCUCUGGCAUUGCUGUGGCUGUGGCUAGACCAGCAGCUGCAGCUCCAAUUUGACCCCUAGCCCAGAACUUCCAUGUGCUGUGGAUGUGGUC
This 3186-nucleotide long non-coding RNA is filed under the name Sus scrofa (pig). RNAcentral describes it as "lncRNA (ENSSSCG00055027169.1)". Lineage: Eukaryota; Metazoa; Chordata; Mammalia; Artiodactyla; Suidae. The record is from RNAcentral.